This is a long non-coding RNA of Olea europaea var. sylvestris, 2111 nucleotides long. RefSeq lists it as uncharacterized. The record is from RefSeq and is a predicted model, not a curated record. The transcript is spliced from 2 exons. Lineage: Eukaryota; Viridiplantae; Streptophyta; Magnoliopsida; Lamiales; Oleaceae.
UUUGUGAUGUGAGCCCAUUUUUGUCAAGACUAUUGAAUUGAGCCCAAAUAAAUGGUCCAAUAUCAUGACCCGUGAAGAAGAAUCUAGAAGGCUGAUCUUUUAAUUCCAAAACAUGUUUUUGACCAUAAGGAGCGUUUUUUCUUUGGAUCAAUGACAAGUGGCAAAUUGGUGGACGUUGGAUCCUUACCUUUCAUAUAAAUAGGAAGCCUCAGAUUUUUUAGGAUUAACGAUUAGUAUUCUGUGGUUUUUUCUUGGCUGCGUGCCUUUCAUCUUCUCCGUUCUAAUCUUGUGAUUUCUUUGAAAAUACUUAGUGUGAUUUUGGGAGAAUUGGUAGAUAAACUCUUGUGUGAGUUCUACUAUGGGAAGAUUGUGUUGUAUUUGUGAUUUGGGAACUUUGUAUUCUGUAACUUGAUCUUUGCCUAUUUUUGGCCGAUUUAGUGGAUUCGAGCUUAAUCCUUAUGGAUGCUCAACGGGGGACUAAGUGUUAGAAGAGGUCGCUGAACCUCCGGGACUUUUUGGCCGAAAAAUCUCUCGUGUUCUUAUUUUCUGUUCUAUUUUGAGAAAAUUUAGAUUUUUUGUGUUGAGUAUUUUUGAUAUAAAUUCGAUUUUGGAACUACAGUGGUAUCAAAGCUUGAAGUUUGUUUUUUUUUUUUUUUAAAUUCAGUUUUCUCAAAACUUGAUUUCUGAAACUCGAAUCUCAAAGGGGGAUUCGCUCGGCCUAAAGAAAACGAGCAGAUCUGAACAUUCGAAAAUUUUUUCUUGGGUGCUUCUGUCAUUAUUUUUGUAUAUCUUCAAGGAGUUUUUUUUAAUCCUGCAGUAUUUCUUGCUAGUAGUUUUCUUUUAAAAGAAAAAGGAGGUUGGUUCGACUUGAUCUACUCUACAUUUGCCUUUGUCUUAGGUUCCUUAAGAGAACCCUAGAAUUAGAGGAAAUCCAGGGAUUCCUCGAUUCAAGAAACCAGAAUGUCCAAUUUUCUAAAAUUCUCGUUAGUUUAAUACUAUGUGUAUCUUUUAUAACUUGAAUUUAUAUUUCUUUAUAAACUGCUGGAUGAUAUUAACCGUGUGAUUUUUCUAUUAUUAUUAUUAUUAUUAUUAUUAUUAUUAUUAUUAUUAUUAUUAUUAUUUUGAACUUUGUGUUCAAUUAGGAAAUAUUGCUCUUGUGAAGGUAUACCUGUAGAGAACUUUCCUUUCUGAUUACUUAGUGCACAAAAUACAGUAAAGGUGGAGAUUGUAAGUUGUUGGGUUGUUGCAUUUUGUAAUGUGAGCCUAUUUUUGUCAAGACUAUUGAAUUGAUCCCAAAUAAAUGGCCCAAUAUCAUGACCGGUGAAGAAGAAUCUGGAAGGCUGAUCUUUUAACUCCAAAACGUGUUUUUUGACCAUAAGGAGCGUUUUUUCUUUCGAUCAAUGACAAGUGGCAAACUGGUGGACAUCGGAUCCUUACCUUUCAUAUAAAUAGGAAGCCUCAAAUUUUUUAGGGUUAACGAUUAGUAUUCUGUGGUUUUUUCUUGGCUGCGUGCCUUUCAUCUUCUCCGUUCUAAUCUUGUGAUUUCUCUUAAAAUACAAAGUAUGAUUUUGGAAGAAUUGGUAGAGAAACUCUUGUGUGAGUUCUACUGUGGGAAGAUUGUGUUGUAUUUGUGAUUUGGGAACUUUGUGUUUUGUAACUUGAUCUUUGCCUAUUUUUGGUCAAUUUAGUGGACUCGAGCUUAAUCCUUAUGGAUGCUUAACGGGGGACUAAGCGUUAGAAGCGGUCGCUGAAACUUCGAGGCCUUUUGGCCAAAAAAUCUCUCGUGUUCUUAUUUUCUGUUUUAUUUUGAGAAAAUCUUAUUUUUUGCGUUGAGUAUUUUUGGCAUAAAUUUGAUUCUGGAACUACACUAGCCGUGGCAUGCCGGCCCAUGAGAUGGCGUAUCACCAGCCGGACAUUGCUUUUCACAUUUCGGGUCAGGGUGAUUCAACACAUUUUGCAUCUCUAUAAACACGUGGUAUUUUUUAUAUCUAAGAUUAGAUAGAAAACAACAUCAAAGUAGUAAACAACCCUGUUGCUAGUGAUACUAUCUAAUCAUGUUCAGUACUAUGUAUCAAAUAUUCGUCGUUAGUUUAUAUCUCUAUUUUAUCAAA